GUGCAGUGGUGCAUUUAUUCUAUUCAUCAACACAUCAUUCUGAAAAGACAGGUGUGCGGAAAGGUAAUGACUGAGUACA
This is a small nucleolar RNA of Molossus molossus (Pallas's mastiff bat), 79 nucleotides long. RefSeq annotates it as small nucleolar RNA SNORD63. The record is from RefSeq and is a predicted model, not a curated record. NCBI's taxonomy places the organism in Eukaryota, Metazoa, Chordata, Mammalia, Chiroptera, Molossidae. The transcript has a single exon.